CGCCAGACUCCUACGGGAGGCAGCAGUGGGGGAUAUUGCACAAUGGGGGAAACCCUGAUGCAGCGACGCCGCGUGGGUGAAGAAGUAUUUCGGUAUGUAAAGCCCUAUCAGCAGGGAAGAAAGAAGACGGUACCUGACUAAGAAGCCCCGGCUAACUACGUGCCAGCAGCCGCGGUAAUACGUAGGGGGCGAGCGUUAUCCGGAUUCACUGGGUGUAAAGGGAGCGUAGACGGCCGUGCAAGCCAGGAGUGAAAGCCCGGGGCCCAACCCCGGGACUGCUCUUGGAACUGUGCGGCUGGAGUGCGGGAGGGGCAGGCGGAAUUCCUGGUGUAGCGGUGAAAUGCGUAGAUAUCAGGAGGAACACCGGCGGCGAAGGCGGCCUGCUGGACUGCAACUGACGUUGAGGCUCGAAGGCGUGGGGAGCAAACAGGAUUAGAUCCCCCCGUA
This 447-nucleotide ribosomal RNA is filed under the name uncultured bacterium. RNAcentral's name for it is "bacterial SSU rRNA". It matches the Rfam family "Bacterial small subunit ribosomal RNA", at positions 329 to 792 of the family's 1533-position model. The record is from RNAcentral.